This 497-nucleotide ribosomal RNA is filed under the name uncultured bacterium. RNAcentral describes it as "partial 16S ribosomal RNA". It matches the Rfam family "Bacterial small subunit ribosomal RNA", at positions 28 to 507 of the family's 1533-position model. The record is from RNAcentral.
GAUGAACGCUGGCGGCGUGCCUAAUACAUGCAAGUCGAGCGAACGGACGAGAAGCUUGUUUCUCUGAUGUUAGCGGCGGACGGGUGAGUAACACGUGGAUAACCUACCUAUAAGACUGGGAUAACUUCGGGAAACCGGAGCUAAUACCGGAUGAUAUUUUGAACCGCAUGGUUCAAAAGUGAAAGACGGUCUUGCUGUCACUUAUAGAUGGAUCCGCGCUGCAUUAGCUAGUUGGUAAGGUAACGGCUUACCAAGGCAACGAUGCAUAGCCGACCUGAGAGGGUGAUCGGCCACACUGGAACUGAGACACGGUCCAGACUCCUACGGGAGGCAGCAGUAGGGAAUCUUCCGCAAUGGGCGAAAGCCUGACGGAGCAACGCCGCGUGAGUGAUGAAGGUCUUCGGAUCGUAAAACUCUGUUAUUAGGGAAGAACAUAUGUGUAAGUAACUGUGCACAUCUUGACGGUACCUAAUCAGAUAGCCACGGCUAACUACGUG